CCCAACGCCCCCCUUGAUCCACAUUGUCCCCAAUGUCCCCAGUGCCCCCAUUGCCCCCAUUGACCCCAAUGUCCCCAUUGUCCCCAACACCCCCGUUGUCCACACUGACCCCAACACCCCCAACGUGCCCAAUGUCCCCAAUGCCCCCAUUGACCCCAACGCCCCCAUUGUCCCCAAUGUCCCCAAUGCCCCCAUUGACCCCAAUGUACCCAAUGCCCCAAUGAUCCCCAUUGACCCCAUUGUCCCCAUUGUCUCCAUUGUCCCCAAUGCCCCCAUUGACCCCAUUGUCCCCAACACUCUCAUUGUCCCCAACACUCUCAUUGUCCCCAACGCCCCCAUUUGUCCCCAUUGUCCCCAACGCCCCCAUUGUCCCCAAUGCCCCCAUUGUCCCCAUGUCCCUACCGGGCAGUGUGAGCAGUGACUGCAGUGGGACACACGAUGUCACCCCCGCUGGCGUCGGUGACACAAUCGCUCCACAGCCCGCGGGUGUUGGUGACAGACGCCACCACCGUCACCUGCCCCCCCCCCACCCCCCAGGCACUGUGGGGCAGAGAGGAAACCAACAGCGCCCACCCCACAGCGCCCAGGGCCACCCCCAGGGCCACCCCCCAGGUGACGGGGGGGGACAUGGGGACAACGGUGGGGACGGAGGGGCGGUAUGGGGGCAGAGGGGGAGAUUUGGGGUCAGGGGUGGGGAUGGAGGGAUAAUAUGGGGGCAGAGGGGGAGAUUUGGGGUCAGGGGUGGGGAUGGAGGGAUAAUAUGGGGGCAGAGGGGGAGAUUUGGGGUCAAAGGGACAAAUUUGGGGUCAGGGGAUGGGGACUGAGGGACAAUAUGGGGUCAGGGAUGGGGAUGGAGGGACAGAUUUGGGGUCAAAGGGACAAAUUUGGGGUCAGGGAUGGGGAUGGAGGGGCAAAAUUGGGGCCAAAGGGGCAAAUUUGGGGUGAGGGGUGGGGAAAGAGGGAGAAAUUUGGGGUCAAAGGGGCAAAUGUGGGGUCAGGGAUGGGGACAAAGUUGGGGACAGAUAUGGGGUCAGGAAUGGGGUCAGGAAUGGGGUCAGGAGGACUCACGGUCCCGCAGCGGUGGUGGCACUGCGGGCUGCGGUGCC
RNAcentral lists this long non-coding RNA (1106 nucleotides) under Gallus gallus (chicken). RNAcentral's name for it is "lncRNA (ENSGALG00010002200.1)". The record is from RNAcentral. Lineage: Eukaryota; Metazoa; Chordata; Aves; Galliformes; Phasianidae.